Molecule: transfer RNA, 65 nt
Filed under: Pyrocoelia analis
Lineage: Eukaryota; Metazoa; Arthropoda; Insecta; Coleoptera; Lampyridae
Description: tRNA-His
Source: RNAcentral
AUUUAAGUAGUUUAAUUUAAAACAAUAAUUUGUGGAAUUAUUAAUAUAAGUAUUUAUCUUAAAUA